RNAcentral lists this ribosomal RNA (262 nucleotides) under Escherichia coli. RNAcentral describes it as "partial 16S ribosomal RNA". It matches the Rfam family "Bacterial small subunit ribosomal RNA", at positions 1 to 260 of the family's 1533-position model. The record is from RNAcentral. Lineage: Bacteria; Pseudomonadati; Pseudomonadota; Gammaproteobacteria; Enterobacterales; Enterobacteriaceae.
AAAUUGAAGAGUUUGAUCAUGGCUCAGAUUGAACGCUGGCGGCAGGCCUAACACAUGCAAGUCGAACGGUAACAGGAAACAGCUUGCUGUUUCGCUGACGAGUGGCGGACGGGUGAGUAAUGUCUGGGAAACUGCCUGAUGGAGGGGAUAACUACUGGAAACGGUAGCUAAUACCGCAUAACGUCGCAAGACCAAAGAGGGGGACCUUAGGGCCUCUUGCCAUCGGAUGUGCCCAGAUGGGAUUAGCUAGUAGGUGGGGUAA